CUUGUCUUGAGUUUAUUAAACUUGUAAGUUGCUUUGUCCUUAAUUGUAGAUACACAAGUGUUCCUUUGUCACAGGCACAUUCACAGCCACAUAUGUUGUCAAAAUCACUACCACACACCUGAUCUUUUACAUAGAUCACAAUCUUAAUCCCCAUGUCCAUCAUGUUGUAUAUUAUUAUGACCUUUUGAUGUGAUCACCUUUGACUACUGUGACAGCACUGUCACUAGAACUAAUAGACAGAAUUAUUGAUGUACUUGAUAAAUUUUGGAGAUAUGAAAGCAACCAAUUUAAAAUUUUGAAAUGAAAUGAAUAUACUACUUUAAUAUUAGUAAUGGAUCAAUAUAAUUUUUAAAUUUCUUUAAUAUUUAUUCUCUAAUUGCAAAACACUACUCGUUUAUUAUGCUCAUGGAAUCAUUACUGAAGUUGAUAUUUCUUUGUGGAUAUCUUGCAUUUGAUUCUGGAAGUGGAGAUGAAGAGGUAAACAAUAUUUAUUAUAAUCAAUUAUCAAACAACAUAUUUUGUAAUUUAAUUUGAUGAGACAAUUUGAGAAGUACUGUCAGGCGACUCUCAAGCCUAGAAGUCCAAACCGAAGAUUAGUAUUUGCUUAAGGAUCAAUGCUAUUGCAUGUAUACUAUGGAACUCGCGAGGAGAUUACAUGUUAGAUCUUCAUUGUCUACCACACUACUUCAAAAUUACUCAUGUAGAUAAAUAUAAUGUGUGUGCAUUAGAUCAGUCUAGACCAAAUUAUUUUGAAGCAGUGCUAAACAUUAAAGUUGUGUUGUGGACUCGAGUACCACUGAUUACACGUUGUAUCUGGUUGCACUGAUUUAGUGAAAACUGUUUUAGAGCAUCUCCAAGGGUGAUCCCUAUUUUAAAUCCCUAAAAUAUAGUAAAAUAAUGGUUACCUAAAAUAUAGGUGAUGGGGGGGCGAGGGUGGGUCCUAGGUGGGUGAUGACAUAUAGGGGGUGGGUGAUGACUUAUAGGGGGUGGGUGAUGUCGUUUAGGUAUAGUUUCUCUUAGUUUGUAUUUUAGUUUUUAUUUUAGUGGUUUGUAUUUGAAAAUUUGCUUAUAUAUAUAUAUCGAGAGGGAGUGGGGGGCAGACACAAGUCACACUACAGUCUGUGCUAUUCUAUUUUUUUGAUGGAGUUUCUUGUUCCUUUUCUUGCAGGUUUUAACAGAAUACAUUCUUGUUUCCGUAACUAGUGCAGUUACAGUGACUAUAGCAGGAGUUGUCAAGGAAGUAGUCACUAUAUUGGUAUGAAUUGUACUAGUUGGUUCAGCAUUUUUAAGAACUCAUGAAUAAAUGCUGUUGGGAAAUUAUUUUUAGCACAUAAAUAUUAAGAAACGUAUCCAUGAUGCAAAUAGCAUUGAAGACCUGCAUCAGGAAUUAAAAUACCAACGGCUGCAAAUAAUUUUAAUCUUAUUUAACUUUUUAUAUAAUGUCAGAGUAGAAGUUAAAACAUUUUAACAUGCUAAAAAGUAAAUUGCAUAAAGAAAUUGGGAGCUUUAUUUGUGCUGUCUUUUAAAAUUGUAAAUUGGGUCUGGAUGGUACUUCAACCUUCAAUUGCCUUCUCAAGAAGUGUUUUUGUCAGUUCAAUUUAAAGUUACAUGUUCCUUGGCUAGGUUAGAACAAUGCUUCUAUUCUGAUCUAGAUAGGAAAAAAUGUAAAAAUAUAUCCCCAUUCUGAAGUAACAUACCUACUGAGCUUCUGGAAAUUGUUGCAUUACUUUCCUUGUCAUUCAAAAUAUAUAUUAUAAAAAAAAUAUAUUAUUAUGCCGAUGGGUGAUUAGUGCAAGGCAUCUAUUCUGUAAAGCAUUUAUAUUCUUUAUCAUGAAAGAUUCUUUCCAUCAGCAACAUUCCACUAAUUACUUAAUAUCGAUUCUGACCAAAUUUUGAAUUGCUCAUCAGGUUGCUGUAAUAUACUUCCACGAUGAGUUUACAUGGAUGAAAGGGUGUGGUCUCAUCAUCAUUAUAAUUGGUGUCAGUUUAUUUAAUUGGUACAAGUAAGUUAUCAGACAUUCUAUAUUAUUCAGAAAGUUUGUACUUUAUGUGCCUCUUAAAUUUAGGCCUUAUUUUUAAUGUGUUCAAAUAUAUGGAAUUCUCAGUUUUCAUUUAGUAAAACAUGUUUAGCUUUUCUGGUAAAACCAUGUUUUGUGUGUUAAGAUACGUGCUUGACAAGAUUAAGAAACAAAAUGCUGUUGGUUGAUGUAUUAUUAAGCAUUAAGCGUUAUUGUGGAGAAAACAGAACAAAAAUAAAAACCUCUUUCUGCUUCCUACAAAGUCUCAACUUGCUGUUAUGAUACCUCAAAUUACUCUUACUCCUUAUUAGGCUCCCUGCUGAUACCAACUACUUACGAAGCCUUGAUAAAGUUUGGAGUGAACACAGCUUUUAUCUCAUUGCGAGCAAUAUAUAGUGUGGCAUACUAGUUACGCUCAAAAGAAUCUAUUUGUCUAAUCGUGGCUAAGCCUGUUGUGAACUUCCUCUCAGGGAUCUGUGAUAGACAAUCAAAGCUAAAAUCAGUGUAGUAUAUUAAAUCUUUAUAUAGAAUUAAAUCUUUAUAUAUAAUUUUAAUUGAUAUACAAUCAUAUAACUUGCAUGAGCAACAACUUCUAUACACCUGCCAUAAUUUUGUGCUAUUUGUUAAGUUUGAACGAUAAUUUAGUCCUGUUCCUGUUGGACUUGAAAAUCUGUCACCCAGUUCUUAUAGAUAGAGUAGCAAUGGACCUGUAAUGUCAUGUGACAUGGUUCUGAAGCAAAAGUCUAAGAUGUUGAAGUAAUGUAUAGACCAGCACCUCCAAUUUUAUUCAAAACUUGCAACUAGAGUGAUUCAUUUUUUUUGACUGAAACCAUCAUACCCGUUUAAAAUCAAUUGAUCCUACUCCAUUCUUAUGGAACAUGGAGCCUAGUUCAUCUGAGUGUGAUGCUGAAUCAAGUUGUUGUAUUCCAUGUUGUUUCAGCUAGUCUACUGACUACUAUUAUUUCAUUCUAGUAGGUGUUGAUUUUAUUAUAAACUAGUGGUGCAUCUUUGAAACUUUUAAGUUGCAAGCAAUAAAUAAUGUGUUUCUGUGCUUUUCUGAUUAUGCAGAUACCAAAAGCUACAAAAGGGAGAAUCAAGUGAGGAUGACAUGUCAGGGUCUUUGAGGACUAAUGUACCUGCAAAAUAUGUUAUUCUUGAGGAGAAUGAUGAUCAAGAUGCUGGGAUUUGAAUACUUGAAUUGCUUGUCUUGAGUUUAUUAAACUUGUAAGUUGCUUUGUCCUUAAUUGUAGAUACACAAGUGUUCCUUUGUCACAGGCACAUUCACAGCCACAUAUGUUGUCAAAAUCACUACCACACACCUGAUCUUUUACAUAGAUCACAAUCUUAAUCCCCAUGUCCAUCAUGUUGUAUAUUAUUAUGACCUUUUGAUGUGAUCACCUUUGACUACUGUGACAGCACUGUCACUAGAACUAAUAGACAGAAUUAUUGAUGUACUUGAUAAAUUUUGGAGAUAUGAAAGCAACCAAUUUAAAAUUUUGAAAUGAAAUGAAUAUACUACUUUAAUAUUAGUAAUGGAUCAAUAUAAUUUUU
This 3569-nucleotide long non-coding RNA is filed under the name Daucus carota (carrot). Its description in RNAcentral is "long non-coding RNA (DCAR_LNC001945)". The record is from RNAcentral. Lineage: Eukaryota; Viridiplantae; Streptophyta; Magnoliopsida; Apiales; Apiaceae.